This 147-nucleotide non-coding RNA is filed under the name pig gut metagenome. The record is from RNAcentral.
UUGUUUGAGGGUAAUAGGGAAUCGGGUGAAAAUCCCGAACGAUCCGGUCACUGUGAUGGAGGAUUCAUACGCAAUAUGUCAUUGGGCGAAAGCCUGAGAAGGCGCGGAAUGGAGAUGAUGCCAGAGUCAGGAAACCUGCUGGGAAAG